GCCCCUCCCAACCCAACAGGCUCAGAUUUUCCACUUGUGUGACUGAGGUCAGUGCCUGCAUCCGGCUGGCGAGCUCCCCACAUAUGCUAGUGCCAGGCCUUAGGCAGGGGCUUCUCUCAUUUGCCCUGGAAUUCACUCCCCUAGUUGGCCCUCUCCAUCCUGCUUGCCACCACGGGGUGGGGAGGCUCCAUCGGAGACUGGGGACAGCCUGGCCCAGCUCUGGCUCUGGGCCACCAGGCCGAGAUGCGGCCCCUGUGUUUGCUCAGGCCUGAGAGUGAGUAUGGAAUAGUCCUCUGGCCAGGAGAGGAACAGUGGGAUUACUGUUGCUUGCAAAGAGCUCCAUCCCUUCCUUGUCAACCCACCAGAGAAUGUGGAGGUUGGCAACCAUGACCGCUGCCAUGGGGUUUACUAAUGGUCACUGCCGCCGACUCUCCCGGAGAGGCCCCGCUGGACACGGGGGCUUUGCCAUCCGCCGCCUACGUUCCCAGCCUGCCACGUCCACUUACUGAGCAACGGGCCAGCAAAUGAGUCUUGGCCCCUCUGAGCCUCACUGUCUUGCCAGUGAAGGUUGGGGUAAUAAUACCAACAUGGAAUGUGGCCAGGAGACACAAAUGUCCCGAGGAGGUGUUGGCCAGGAGGGCCUGGAAGUGCUUUCCUUAGGUGGGAUGACUCAUCAAGGACAGAGCAAAUCUCUUCUCCACCCAGGCCUCCUCUGCUCCAGCUCACAGGUUCACCCUGACACCAUCCUGGGGAACAGGAAGUUCUCACACUUCCCAUAGGUCAAGAAGCUGUCCUCGGCUAAAAAGAGGCUGCACUUCCCGCAGCCAAGGCCUCUCUCCCAAAGCAGAGAGAUUUUUUGGCCCGCUGAGACUGCAUAACCAUCUGCCAUAAAUUGAGACUAGUACGGCUUAUUUUGGUGAAUGCAAAAUUGGAUCCCAUUCUUUACUCUGUGGCUUGAUUCAACUUCCAGAUGGUUAAUCCACAUGAAGUAAUAGGAAUGCACCACAGCUCUGCUUAGCUGAAGAUGGAGACGUAAUAUUUAUUUGCUGAUGUGGAAGCCUCCAAAUGCUGCCCUGUCGGGAUGUCAGUAUAUAACGCGGCAGCACAAAAAAUGUCGGCUUGUCCACAGGAGCGACAGUGUACCUCUGAGUUUUCAUGGGGGACCCCUGAUGUCAUUUUUUUUUUUUUUUUUUUCUGGUCUGCCCGUGACCUAAUCUCAAGAGGUUUUGUUCUCUCCUGGGCUGUUUCUUAUCAGCUAUGUCUGCCCAUGUAGCCGGCUUCACAUCUGCUUUGACUUUAGUGCCUGUGACAUUUUCAUUAAUACUUCUUCAAGGUUGAGCCUUGAUUCCAAAUAUCCUGCCGCUCACGGAAGCUGUAGCUCAGCUGUGCCCAGCUGGGGGCUGCUGGGAAGUUUGGCCCAGUGGUAUCAACAAGCUUGGACAUCUCCACCCGGUUGGGUUAAUCAAUCCGUUUUUACUUUUAUUUCUGCCCACACUGGCCUGCCACGCCGGGGGAUGGGAUGCUCUGAAAGAGAUCUAGGUCAGCAGAUUCGGGGGCUUAAGUCUCAAUUGUGUUUCCACUCCUGGGAGUCUUGACUGCCUGAUCUGCCUGGAUUACGCACCCCCGCCAGCCAACCUUGCCCUUGCAAACUCACCCUGGACUUCCCAGCCCAGCCAUGUUUUCCCCAUCUACCCUGGGGCAGACUGGGACUCAGGGCCUCCUCUCUGUACCCGCCCAGGUCCCUGGGAACCACCUACAUUUGAAUUACCAGAGGAUGUUAAAAGUGCACACGCCUGGAUUGAGGGAGAGAAACCGUCCUAGUUUGCUCAGGACUAUCCUAGCUUUAGCACUGAAAGUCCUGUGUCCUGGAAAACCCCACCAGAUCUGGGCAAACCAGGAUGGUUGGUCACCCUACUUGGGCCCUACCCCAGACCCCAGAAUGAGAACCUCUGAGGGCUCAGGCCUAGGGAUCUAGUUUUGAUCAGUUCCCAUGGGUGAUUCUGAGGAGCUUGGAACCACAGGUACCCUCAGGGCCCAUGUUCUCUCACUUUGCAUGAAUGUAGCACACGAUACCCUCAUCAAUUUCUUUGGUAGAGUGUUUGAUUCCCUCACUGUGAGGUCUUCAAGGGAAGGGAUCAGCCCAGUUCGCUUUUGCCUUCAGUUCCCAGCUCUGUGUCUGGCCCACAGUCGACACUCAGAACAGACGAAUGGAAGAAAUAAUUGGAUACAAGCAAAUACCCAUGCUGGGGAAAGUGACCCAGACCUGUUUCCCACGUACUUUUCCAAAGUUCUAGGGUGGACUCGAUUAGAAAUUAGAUCAAGGAAAUUCUAGUAGAGCAGGAAUUGGAUCUAGGAUAUUUUUUUAAGGGAGUGAAAACCUUGAACGUUCCAAGAUGGAACAAAUAAGCAAUUAGAUCUAAGAAAUUCUAAAAUGGAAUGGACUGGAACCGUGAACAUCCUAAGACAGAAUUGUUUUCUUCCUUAAUUGUCAUGGGAGCUUCUGCAGGCAGAGAGAACAAGAGGCCAUAUGCCUUGUACCUGAUUAUCAAAGCCUAGCAUCAAAUGUUUAAAGUCUGCAGCUCCUCAAAUAAUCACAGCUGUGCAUGAAGACAGACUCAAGUGUGAGGUGUCCAGGCUGGGCAGUGGGGAUCAGGGAGCCCAGAAAACAGGCUGAGCUGAGGGGAAGGAGUGGGAGCCAGUGUCUGGCCCUGGCAGGAUCCCAGCAUCACAAUCCUUCACCCCUCAGCCUGGACAGGGCUCAGCCAGGUGAUGGCCGUCUUCCCAUCACCUGAGUGCAACCCCCAGCUUAACUGAGUUGCCCUGUUGCCUCGGGCAGCAGAUCCUGCUGCUUCCUAAUUUAGUUUCCUUGUCUUUUCAAUAAAGAUGGAAAGACUCUUCUCUGGUUAUGGCUUUAAAGUGGGUGCAACAUAAAGGAUUAUUUGUAUGGGUUUUAUGUGUCUGUGAAAACACUGAGGUUGACCCAGGGUCCUAGUCCCAAACCCUGUUCAUGAUAAUCCCGUUGGUAAGAGGGAGUGCACACGAGGAGGAGAGUCUGCGAAGGUAAAAGGGAGCCCAGGGAUCACCUUAACAGGGGUCACGCCCGCUGGCUUGAACCCACUGGACUUGGUGGCUGUCGGCAUGCUUGUCCAAGUGGAUAAAGCAAAGCCCAGUGACAGGCUGCAGUGGAGGGAGCCUGGGGCACAGCUGAGCAGGAGAUGUGCCUCCACACCCCCCUCCAUCUCCCCCCUCCCAGCCCCCCACGUCCCCGCCGACUGGGUCAAGUGCGCCUCUCCCACCCCACAUCCCCGCAUCGGUUCCUAUGGGCUCCACCUUGAACACGCAUCCAGAAUCUGACCCUUCUCACCACACCCACAACGACCGUAACCCAGCCCAGCCACCAUCUUCUCUCCCUGGAUGGUUGCUCAAGACCUUCCUAACUGGCCCUUUCUCUUCCCAUAGAGAAGCCAGAGUGGUUCUUUUCAGUAUCAAACAAGUUGUACCCGCCCUCUGCUCAGAGUCCCCCUGCGUAACUGACAGUGACCCGCUAGACCCCUCUCUGUCCCUACCGGCUCCUGCUCCUCCUCUCCUUCACUCCACUCCAGCCGCACUGGCCUCCUGCUGGCCAGUUCUGCAAAACACCAGGCGAGUCACCUCCAGGGCCUUUGCACUGGCUGCUCCCGCUGUCUGGAACACUUCCACCAGAGCCCCUCCCAGUUCCCUCUCCUGCCUCACUCAGAUGCUCUAAUGUCCAGGAGGGCCUUCCCAGGCCACCUUAUACAAAACAGCCCUCCCCCCAUCUGUCAUAGCUCUUUAUCCUUCAUAGCACUUAUCACUACCUGCAUGGUGUGUGUUGUGUGUGUGUAUUGCUUGUCUCUUCCCACUGGACUAGAAGUUCCAUGAGAGCCAAUUUCGUGCUGCCCUCCGUGCCUGGAACCCUGCGUGGUCUGUACUAGGUGCUCAGUGAGCAUUUGCAAAUGAGUAACUCCGGCGUUUCUCCCAUGUUAGAAGAGGCUGGUGACUCUCAGUGAACCACAUGGUAGAUGCAAAGAUCACAGCAUAACCGAAGAGGGCUGUCCAAAUGUAAUGAUGGCCAUUAGCGUCUCUCCACCCCAGAGCAGCGAUUCUGGAGGAAUCUGUGUAAUUGGAGUACAAUUAAGCAUAUGGCAGUGUUUCCACCAGGCCAUAGAUCCGAUUCUGAGCUUCCCCGACGUGGGCUCUGGUUUCUUUCUUUUUCCCCGUAACAACA
This is a long non-coding RNA of Physeter macrocephalus (sperm whale), 4246 nucleotides long. RefSeq lists it as uncharacterized. The transcript is spliced from 3 exons. Lineage: Eukaryota; Metazoa; Chordata; Mammalia; Artiodactyla; Physeteridae. The record is from RefSeq and is a predicted model, not a curated record.